Molecule: ribosomal RNA, 272 nt
Filed under: uncultured prokaryote
Description: partial 16S ribosomal RNA
Rfam family: Bacterial small subunit ribosomal RNA
Source: RNAcentral
UACGAAGGGUGCAAGCGUUACUCGGAAUUACUGGGCGUAAAGCGUGCGUAGGUGGUGGUUUAAGUCUGCUGUGAAAGCCCUGGGCUCAACCUGGGAAUUGCAGUGGAUACUGGAUCACUAGAGUGUGGUAGAGGGAUGCGGAAUUUCUGGUGUAGCAGUGAAAUGCGUAGAGAUCAGAAGGAACAUCCGUGGCGAAGGCGGCAUCCUGGGCCAACACUGACACUGAGGCACGAAAGCGUGGGGAGCAAACAGGAUUAGAUACCCUGUAGUCC